This is a non-coding RNA of Paramuricea clavata, 366 nucleotides long. The record is from the annotation of a GenBank genome assembly. Lineage: Eukaryota; Metazoa; Cnidaria; Anthozoa; Malacalcyonacea; Plexauridae.
UCGAUGCCGAUGUAAUCCAAUGGUAUUUUCCAGUGUUAUGAAUCUGUAUUCCUUCACCCUGUGUGUUCACGAACGAAGUUUGGGAUAAGAUGGUGUCCUGUAAGCCACUGAUAUGUGGAAACUUUUUCUUUAAUAGUUUUUGCGCAGCGUUCAUGUGACGAUCAUUCAGCAUUCUUUGAGAUUUUAGUAUCGCCUUAUCUUCGUUCUUUAAACUGAGUUCUUUGAUCCAAUAUUCGCCAGACGUUUCUUUAAUCAUGAAGGAGAAAAAACAUACAAGUCCAAAUUAAAGACACGUAUAGCACAUUAAUGCUAUAUCGGACCCAUGUAACGAAAGGCUGAACUGAAAAUGAAUCACUUUAACUUUAA